CCACUCUACAGACUGUGGGAUGGCUCUGCUAUUUCCUGCACCAUCUAACUAGUCCACCUACGCUGCCCUGCGCUAUUCGACACGAAGCCAUGGCGGUUCCCCUUCUCUAUAGGCCAACAGAGAAGGCCGCUCCAUCCAAGCGGUUGCGAGCCGGCUGCGGUGGUUCCGCAGAAGGGGAAUAGGGCAUCCCACCGGUGGGAUGCAGUUGAACUGAAGCGACAGUGCCAAGUUGGAUCGCGAUUUCGGCUGCGGAGCGGCGCUUGGCCGCAGCGACGCGCUCCACGAGCUUGAGAAGUGUAUUGUCUCUCCUCUCCCAUCCUCGUAUCCUUGAUUGAUCCUCGCCUCCCUGAUUGAUCUAGGCCCAUUGAUCUGGGUCAAUUUUUCAUUGACUAGGUAUGAAUAUGAUUGACCUCAUUUUCAAGCUUGGUCACUCGCUCACUGCACGCGCUCAUGAGCUCAAGCCCCGCCCCUUACCUCCCUCUAACUUGGCCACCUCCAUCCCCUGGUGGUAAUUGAAUCAAGAAAUUCAGUAUGAACUUAUAAAGUGUAGAGGUUCUACAGAUGCGGCAACAUCAAGGACUGCCGUGAGGAAGCACCUGGAGUGGAGUCACGACAACGUUGUGAUUCUCAUUAACCUAUGAGAACGAACAUAACCACAACCACGUACAGCCCCCGACCUAUCGAUGCUCGCCAUGAAUUCAGUAAAGCCCGACUGAAGUUACCAAUCCCAGAAGAAUAUAGAAGAACUCUAAAUUAUUAUGCCAU
This 765-nucleotide ribosomal RNA is filed under the name Triticum aestivum (bread wheat). RNAcentral describes it as "partial small subunit ribosomal RNA". The record is from RNAcentral. Lineage: Eukaryota; Viridiplantae; Streptophyta; Magnoliopsida; Poales; Poaceae.